This 449-nucleotide unclassified non-coding RNA is filed under the name Fusarium solani. Its description in RNAcentral is "sequence contains 18S rRNA gene, ITS1, 5.8S rRNA gene, ITS2, 28S rRNA gene". The stretch from base 123 to 276 matches the Rfam family "5.8S ribosomal RNA". Lineage: Eukaryota; Fungi; Ascomycota; Sordariomycetes; Hypocreales; Nectriaceae. The record is from RNAcentral.
AACUUACCUAUACGUUGCUUCGGCGGGAAUAGACGGCCCCGUAAAACGGGCCGCCCCCGCCAGAGGACCCUUAACUCUGUUUCUAUAAUGUUUCUUCUGAGUAAAACAAGCAAAUAAAUUAAAACUUUCAACAACGGAUCUCUUGGCUCUGGCAUCGAUGAAGAACGCAGCGAAAUGCGAUAAGUAAUGUGAAUUGCAGAAUUCAGUGAAUCAUCGAAUCUUUGAACGCACAUUGCGCCCGCCAGUAUUCUGGCGGGCAUGCCUGUUCGAGCGUCAUUACAACCCUCAGGCCCCCGGGCCUGGCGUUGGGGAUCGGCGGAGCCCCCCGUGGGCACACGCCGUCCCUCAAAUACAGUGGCGGUCCCGCCGCAGCUUCCAUCGCGUAGUAGCUAACACCUCGCGACUGGAGAGCGGCGCGGCCACGCCGUAAAACACCCAACUCUUCUGAA